RNAcentral lists this small RNA (119 nucleotides) under Drosophila guanche. The record is from RNAcentral. Lineage: Eukaryota; Metazoa; Arthropoda; Insecta; Diptera; Drosophilidae.
GCCAGCGAUGUGCGGGCCGAGCUGGAUGUGGGCGCCGGCAGCUGCUGUUGCUGCAAUUGUUGCUGCUGCAAUUGCACCUGCAACUGCUGCUGCUGCUGCUGCUGCUGCUGCUGCUGCUG